UACAGAGGGUGCGAGCGUUAAUCGGAAUUACUGGGCGUAAAGCGCACGUAGGUGGUUUGGCAAGUCGGGUGUGAAAACUCCGGGCUCAACCCGGAGACGCCACUCGAUACUGCUAUGACUUGAGUCCGGUAGGGGAGUGCGGAAUUCCUGGUGUAACGGUGAAAUGCGCAGAUAUCAGGAGGAACACCGGUGGCGAAGGCGGCACUCUGGGCCGGUACUGACGCUGAGGAGCGAAAGCGUGGGGAGCGAACAGG
RNAcentral lists this ribosomal RNA (254 nucleotides) under uncultured bacterium. RNAcentral describes it as "partial 16S ribosomal RNA". It matches the Rfam family "Bacterial small subunit ribosomal RNA", at positions 524 to 776 of the family's 1533-position model. The record is from RNAcentral.